Long non-coding RNA from Cornus florida, 1200 nucleotides. RefSeq lists it as uncharacterized. The record is from RefSeq and is a predicted model, not a curated record. The transcript is spliced from 4 exons. NCBI's taxonomy places the organism in Eukaryota, Viridiplantae, Streptophyta, Magnoliopsida, Cornales, Cornaceae.
ACUAGAUUUGAGAUAACAUCUAAAAGUUCCUCCUAGCCUCAUCCAGCAACAACAGAUCUCGCGGUGCAACUUUCAGUUUCAACAAGGCAUCCUUCUUCCUCUCUUACUGGUCGGCUCUCUAAUCCCUUUCAAUCCAACACAUCUUUCUCUCGUUAAUCAGUCACGGUAUCCACAUAUUUCUGUCUCUCAAAUCUCUUUCUUGGGUUUAUUUUCUCUGAUGAGGUCUCAAUUUCAUUUUAGUCUUGAUGGGAUCAGAGGAAGAUGCGUAGAAUGGCAUCAUGGAUUCACGGAUUCUAAAGCCUUUUUAUUUUAUUUUUUAUUUUUUUAAGGCGAGCAAGGCCGAGGUCGAGGUCGCCGAAUUUUGGCGAGCCGAGCGAGCCCGAACAUGGCUCGGCUCGGCUCGGCUCAUUUGCAGCCAAAAUAAAACCAAUCACACGAUGGUGCCAAUUUCAAUUUAGUUCUGGAGGGAGAGAGAGACUGGGGUUAGAGAGAGGGUUCUUGGGGUUUUUUUUUUUGAGAGAGGGAGAAAUGGCGACUCUACGGCGCCAAUUGUUGACCUUCCGGCGACACACCGCCGCUGCCGGCAGCGGAUACUUUAGGAUUUUAAGGACUUUGCGCUGGAUCGAUCUCAGGAGGAGAAAGAUCACCGCUAAUAGGGUGUGCAGACUCUCAACUUUCCGCCUUUGUCGCCCCUAUUCGCACCCUAGAUUUUUGGAGGAAGCGCUUGGUAGUUGGGUUCGACGACGUACUUUGGCGGAUGUCUAUGACCACGAAUUCAUAGUUAGCAAUUCAAGGGAGAUUGAUUACCUAUCGGUAUCCUAUCCAUCUCGCGUUCUGAUUUCUUGCCCCCUCCAUCUUCGCUGGAGACCGUUCAAGAGGAUCCGAUUGGCUGCACACGCAAGAGAGUUCGAUUUCACUUUUUUAGGGUUGAUUAUUGGAAUGCGGCGGCGAUGAUAGGGUUCUGAUUUCAGUGGGUACUUGGUCUGAUUGGCUGCUGGACAACAAGAGGUCUUAAACUGUAUUUCUUUUUUCUACAAAAACACUGUACAUGAUUGAGCAACGGGUUUACAUCAUAGUUGUUUUUGGAUUUGCACUGCAAUUUUCCCCCUAAAACUCUGUACAUGGCAUGGCUGAGCAACAGGGGGUACUUGGUCUGAUUGGCUGCUGGACAACAAGAGGUCUUAAACUGCAUUAUUUUUU